This 1505-nucleotide long non-coding RNA is filed under the name Equus caballus (horse). RNAcentral describes it as "lncRNA (ENSECAG00000059185.1)". The record is from RNAcentral. Lineage: Eukaryota; Metazoa; Chordata; Mammalia; Perissodactyla; Equidae.
GGGGAUGAGCUUAUCUCUAGAAACUCUUAUCAAUGUGGAAGGCAAGGACUUAAAUCUGCAUAAUAACCUCACUCUUGUUUACUGUGCUUUUCUGGCAAUCUCCCAUAACUGGCUCCUCCCACCCCCAACAUCCUCCUUUGUCUUUAGCUGAGGAUGGUAUUUAAGGUAAGAGCUUCUGCCAUUUUGGUGAGUUACUCAAUUUUCCUGAGUCUCUCCCACGUAUACAUGUUAUAAAGCUUGUUUAAUUUUCUCCUGUUAUUCUGUCUCAUGUCAAUUUAAUUUGUAGUCUGGCCAGAAGGACUUAGAGUGGGUAGAGGAAAUGUCUUCCUCUCCUACAGUUUAGCAACUUAAACGGGAUAAAAUUUCACUGCCUGGACACUGCUCACUCCUGGACUGCUGCAGCCAAGAGAUCCUGGACCCCUGACAAGAACCAGCAAAAGGACCUGAGAGCCAUUCUUUUGAAAUGCAAAUGUUUCUCAGAAACUGGACACAAUUGGAAACAUUGGUUAUCUUACCAAGGCUUUGACUGGAAUGUCACAUUUGAGAGAAACAGGUACAGACUCAGAUAUGACAAUACAGCCUUCGAGGAAUAAGGUUGACUUUCUGGAAUAAAGCCCCUUGGAACUAUUGGCCUAAUACCUUGUCUACAGAGAUUCCAGCAAUCUUACCUAGUAAGUAAGGAAGCUCACUUAUCUGGCAGAUGCCUGGAACCUUGAAAUAUUUUGGGAAACUCAAGAGAAAAGAGGAAUUCAUCCAAAUAUAAGUAGUGCAGGCAAGGCCUGAUGACAAAUCCUUGGCUUCCUUUCCUGGCCUUGAGAGGCCUUUAAAGUUCAAUCUGAGAUUCCUUAUAAGAAGUUCUAGCAAAGCAGAUUUAAAAGCGCCUAUAUGACCAAUGGCUAUUCUUGCUGUACUUAUGUAAAUAAUUUGGCCAAGUUUAUUGAAACUAAACUUACUUUGCAAACCAGUUAGUCUUAAUUUGGCUAUCUUUGGUAAAAAUGAGGGUGAUUUAGAGAGAAAAGUUAUGUUUCAAUAAAAACUACAGUACACAUUCAUGGAUUUUAGGUUCUAGUUCUGAUAACUGUCCUUGAGGGUUUUAUUUUCUAUCUGUGAACUGGACUGGAUCCUGAAUUCUUCUAGUCCCCUUAAAUAUCUGGCUACGAAUCUCCAAACUAAUGUUUUCAAUUGUUUCCCUCAUUUUCAUUUGGAAUCAUUGAGAACUGAACCUGCCCUUUUUCCUGAAGCUUUGCAAACUGAAACUGAACAACUUGAUAUAAACUUAAAAGAGAUUCAUGUCUGUUGCUUGUGUAAGCUGUAAGCCACUCAGAAAGAUACACCCAAUGACAUCAUCACAGAAAUCUCAAGCUGCAAAAGAUGCUUCAACCCUGACAUCUAGAGAUCUUGACUGGCUGUUCCCUGGGCUCAGGAACUGGUUUAUAAUUUGCUCCAACCAUUAACCUUGUUUUUUUUUUUUAUUUCCAUAUAAAUACUUCUUAUUAGAUACCUGA